This 71-nucleotide transfer RNA is filed under the name Noturus gyrinus (tadpole madtom). Its description in RNAcentral is "tRNA-Cys". It matches the Rfam family "tRNA". From Rfam's summary of the family: Transfer RNA (tRNA) molecules are approximately 80 nucleotides in length. Their secondary structure includes four short double-helical elements and three loops (D, anti-codon, and T loops). Further hydrogen bonds mediate the characteristic L-shaped molecular structure. tRNAs have two regions of fundamental functional importance: the anti-codon, which is responsible for specific mRNA codon recognition, and the 3' end, to which the tRNAs corresponding amino acid is attached (by aminoacyl-tRNA synthetases). tRNAs cope with the degeneracy of the genetic code in two manners: having more than one tRNA (with a specific anti-codon) for a particular amino acid; and 'wobble' base-pairing, i.e. permitting non-standard base-pairing at the 3rd anti-codon position. Lineage: Eukaryota; Metazoa; Chordata; Actinopteri; Siluriformes; Ictaluridae. The record is from RNAcentral.
CACGGCCUUGUGGUGAAUAGCACAUUAGAUUGCAAGUCUAAAGAAGUAGGUAGAUAGCCUACCGGGGCUUU